This 22-nucleotide microRNA is filed under the name Oreochromis niloticus (Nile tilapia). RNAcentral's name for it is "oni-miR-10768". The record is from miRBase by way of RNAcentral. Lineage: Eukaryota; Metazoa; Chordata; Actinopteri; Cichliformes; Cichlidae.
UCACACAGGUUGGCGAAGGUUU